RNAcentral lists this ribosomal RNA (750 nucleotides) under Shigella dysenteriae. Its description in RNAcentral is "bacterial SSU rRNA". It matches the Rfam family "Bacterial small subunit ribosomal RNA", at positions 44 to 783 of the family's 1533-position model. The record is from RNAcentral. Lineage: Bacteria; Pseudomonadati; Pseudomonadota; Gammaproteobacteria; Enterobacterales; Enterobacteriaceae.
AGGCCUAACACAUGCAAGUCGAACGGUAACAGGAAGCAGCUUGCUGCUUCGCUGACGAGUGGCGGACGGGUGAGUAAUGUCUGGGAAACUGCCUGAUGGAGGGGGAUAACUACUGGAAACGGUAGCUAAUACCGCAUAAUGUCGCAAGACCAAAGAGGGGGACCUUCGGGCCUCUUGCCAUCGGAUGUGCCCAGAUGGGAUUAGCUUGUUGGUGGGGUAACGGCUCACCAAGGCGACGAUCCCUAGCUGGUCUGAGAGGAUGACCAGCCACACUGGAACUGAGACACGGUCCAGACUCCUACGGGAGGCAGCAGUGGGGAAUAUUGCACAAUGGGCGCAAGCCUGAUGCAGCCAUGCCGCGUGUAUGAAGAAGGCCUUCGGGUUGUAAAGUACUUUCAGCGGGGAGGAAGGGAGUAAAGUUAAUACCUUUGCUCAUUGACGUUAUCCGCAGAAGAAGCACCGGCUAACUCCGUGCCAGCAGCCGCGGUAAUACGGAGGGUGCAAGCGUUAAUCGGAAUUACUGGGCGUAAAGCGCACGCAGGCGGUUUGUUAAGUCAGAUGUGAAAUCCCCGGGCUCAACCUGGGAACUGCAUCUGAUACUGGCAAGCUUGAGUCUCGUAGAGGGGGGUAGAAUUCCAGGUGUAGCGGUGAAAUGCGUAGAGAUCUGGAGGAAUACCGGUGGCGAAGGCGGCCCCCUGGACGAAGACUGACGCUCAGGUGCGAAAGCGUGGGGAGCAAACAGGAUUAGAU